This is a long non-coding RNA of Homo sapiens (human), 1284 nucleotides long. RefSeq annotates it as RSF1 intronic transcript 1. NCBI's taxonomy places the organism in Eukaryota, Metazoa, Chordata, Mammalia, Primates, Hominidae. The transcript is spliced from 2 exons. The record is from RefSeq and is marked validated.
AUAGCUAUCUAACCGCUAGCUUAUGAAAAACUUUCCUGACAUUAACUCAUAUCUGUUUUUUGCCCCAUUUUGAAUUUCAGCAGAUUUCUCUUAGUGAUUAUUUAUUAAUGCUUUGAAAAAAUAACCCGUAGAAAAGCUCAAUUUUCAUUCCCUAAGAAUAAAUGUGUACUGAUUAAUCUCAUGGGAGAUUGUUUCAUAAGCAUGUAUCAUUACAUUAUUUUCCUUGUAAUUAAUUUGCUAAACGGAGGUGAACAAAGUAGUCCUAAACUAAAAUUUAUUUACCAUUUCUCCUUUAAAUACAAAGACAAAUAUGAUCUAUUCAUGACAUUAUACCACUGUUUCUGUUAUUUCCCAUAUUAACUUGGCGUAGUUGUUUAAAACAUUCUUUUCUUCUUUGUAGAUGAAGAAAAUAUGACAGUGAAAUAACGAUUACUAUUGAUCAGUCAUAGUUGUUUAAAAUAAUGUCUAAUGGGCUGGGUGCGGUGGUUCACACCUGUAAUCUCAGCACUUUGGGAAGCCGAGGUGGGCAGAUUAUGCGGUCAGGAGAUCAAGACCAUCCUGGCCAACAUGGUGAAACCCCAUCUCUACUAAAAUAAAAAAAAAAAAUUAGCUGGGUUUGGUGGCACACACCUGUAAUCCCAGCUACUCGGGAGGCUGUGGCUGGAGAAUCGCUUGAACCAGCAGGUGGAGGUUGCAGUGAGCCAAGAUCACGCCACUGUUCUCCAGCCUGGGCAACACAGCGAGGCUCCGUCUCCAAAAAAAAGAAAAAAAAAUGUCUAAUGUAUACUGUUUUAAAUAGAUUAUACCUUAAUGCAUGAUGUGAAAUUUUAGAGUUAACAGUUAUGUUUGAAUCUGGGUUCAUCCACUUACCAUCUGUAGACACAUUACUUUUGUCCCUUGGUAUCCAUGGGGCACUGGUUCCAGACCCUCAUGGAUAACAAAAUGUGUAAAUGCUUAAGCCCUUUACAUAAUAUUUGUGUAUAACCUAUGCACGUCCUCCCAUAUACUUAUAAUACUUAAUGCAUUGUAAAUGCUAGGUAUAGAAUUGUUAUACUGUAGUUUUAAUUUGUAUUUUUAUUGUAUUAACUUUAGUUCAUUUUUUUCUAAAUAUUUUGAUCUGUGGAUAUGGGGGGGCUAAUGUACUUAAUUUUUCUGAGAGUUACAUUCCUGUACUUUAAAAUGAAAGUGAUAAUACUUCCUCAAAAAGUUGUUGUGAGGAAUAUAUGAGAAAUGGUACUGACACUGUAAUACAUGCUCAAUAAACCUUUUCUCUUUUUAUUUCCA